Long non-coding RNA from Carassius carassius (crucian carp), 370 nucleotides. RefSeq lists it as uncharacterized. The transcript is spliced from 4 exons. The record is from RefSeq and is a predicted model, not a curated record. NCBI's taxonomy places the organism in Eukaryota, Metazoa, Chordata, Actinopteri, Cypriniformes, Cyprinidae.
GAAAGAUCGCUGGAUAUGUUAAAAGCCAGAGACAUGGGAGAGCAUCAUUCUUUUGAGAUUUUAUAACUCAAACCAACUUUGGAGUUGUCUGAUUUGGAGAGUCAUCAUUCUUGGUCUUCCCUCUUAAAGGCCACUGAUGAAGAACAGGCGGUGACUGGAUGAAUGCUGGUCAAAGUAGAGAACAUCCUUUCUCCUAAACUGAUGCAGCAGUGGUUUUAAAGGAGGACGCUGCCCUGGAUGAUGUAGAUGUCACAUACUGUGCUGAUGGAGGUUCUUCAUGACUACAUCAGUUAUGCUAAAGAGAUCAUGAAAGUUGACAGUGAUGCAUGAUCUGUAUUCAUGGACUAUGAAACAAACUGUAAGUGUAUAA